AAAGAAUUAGUUAAAUAUAACAUUAGUAUGUCAUGCUAAAAUUAUUAGUACAUAAUCUAGUAUUCUUUA
RNAcentral lists this transfer RNA (69 nucleotides) under Flavoperla hatakeyamae. Its description in RNAcentral is "tRNA-Asp". It matches the Rfam family "tRNA". Rfam says of the family: Transfer RNA (tRNA) molecules are approximately 80 nucleotides in length. The record is from RNAcentral. Lineage: Eukaryota; Metazoa; Arthropoda; Insecta; Plecoptera; Perlidae.